Molecule: non-coding RNA, 77 nt
Organism: Caerostris darwini
Lineage: Eukaryota; Metazoa; Arthropoda; Arachnida; Araneae; Araneidae
Source: the annotation of a GenBank genome assembly
CCGAUCACCGAAGUCAAGCAUCAUUGGGCGCGGUCAGUACUUGGGUGGGUGACCACCUGGGAACACCGCGUGCCGUU